Glycine soja is the source of this 4861-nucleotide long non-coding RNA. RefSeq lists it as uncharacterized. The record is from RefSeq and is a predicted model, not a curated record. Lineage: Eukaryota; Viridiplantae; Streptophyta; Magnoliopsida; Fabales; Fabaceae. The transcript has 2 exons.
CCAAAUGAUUAAAAUGAAAAAAUAUGAAAAGAAAACAAUUUAUUUGUGUUUUACAAAGCCUCUCUUCCAUUACGCUUACUUGUUUAGCCUUUCUGCAAAUAUGUGUUGGCUAAACAAUGGCAUUAAGAGCUUUUCUGCUCCAGGUUUUUUCCACAACUCUUUACUUUUAUCGUGAUUUGCUUUUUGAUUUGAAAUUUCGUGUUUUUCUACUCACAAUUUCAUUUUCAAUUUACUCCACUGUGAUUUGCUUAUCGAUAUGAACUUUGGUGUUCUUCUACUUGCGAUUUUCUUUUCACUCUCUAAAUUUGCUUUCCGAUUUGAUGUCGCAAACACUUUUUGUGUUCUUCUACUUGUGAUUUGCUUUUCACUCUCGUUAUUUGCGGUUCCAUUUUCUCUUACGGUCUCUCGGUUUAACCCUUAUUUUCUCCAUCUCACGGGAUUUUGAUUUCGCGUGGUCAUGUGAUUUCCCAUUCUAUGCAGUCGCAUGAUUUUCAUAAGGUAUAUUGAUUUGUGUUUUUUCUCUCAAUUUUUUUUAUUCUCACUUUCUCUUUCAAACUCACUUUUUAUACUCACUUGACUUUAAGCCUUUUAGGUUAGCCGUUGUACAUUUUUUAGCUGAGAGUUGAUACAUUGAAUUGAUAUUAUUAGUUACUUGUGCUUAGGGACUGUGCCUUUUGGUUUAAAACUGCUUUUCAUUUGGUUAUGAAUUUGCCUACUUCCUGCGUGUAAUGCUAACAAAUAUUGUUGCUUCUCUUAUUUGGAAUUCAUUCUUGUGGGCAUGUGGAUAUGUUAGGUGAGUGUUUAUGCUUGCAAAUUUGAAGGUAUAGAUCUAUUUUAGUGACUUUGACUUAUCAUUUUUGUUGAAUUGUCAUUCAGAACGCCAUUAUUUGGUUUUGGAAUGUCACUUGAUAAUUGGUAUAGCAACCUCUCUAUUUUCUUUCACAUACUUAUUCCAUUUUGUGGCUGCAACUUUUGGUUGAUGACAGAGUAGUUAACAAUUGGUCAUUGUUAUGAAAUGGUAUUGGAACAGAGAGAAAAUGAUUAGUAUGUAUUUGGUCAUGGAUGCCACUGUAGUCAAGUGGGCUGUGAUGAUACUCAAAGAGGUUUGAUGAUGAUUAAUUUGAAUCAAAUACUUACAGGAAAUUCAAUUUCUUUUAGAUUUUUCUGGAAAGUUUGGUCUUGUUUUGAAGGAUCAAGAGUGGCUAAAAUCAUGAAUUAGAAUCUCUCAACCUUAUUUCUCAUCAUGAGCGAUUGUUAUAUGCUCUUAUUAGUUUCAAAUAGGUAAAAAGUGUGCCUCACAGGUUUCCAAAUAAGUUUCUUUUGUCGAGUGCAUGUACAAGUGCAUGUACGAGUAAGUUGAUAAGGCAAUCACUAGUUGCUACCGCCUACAACUUAUAGAUGAGUUAGUAUAACAGGCAGUGGAGCUGCAACUUUCAAGUUAUCUUGCUACCACUCUUGUUGUCUCUCUUGAUUUUUAUACUCGCUUUCUCUUUCGUAAGUUUUCGAGGCUUAAACCAUGUUGUUCCUUGCUGGUUACUGGUGAUUAGAAUGGAGUUUUCAUACCUUUUAGGAUUUCAUUUUUCUUUUAGUGCAGAGUUUGUUAUUAUCAUCUUCCGCAGACAUUCUUCAAUCUUGCUAGAGUAAUCUGAUAAGAUUUCAAAAGUGGCAACUCUCAUAUUGAAUUAACUCUAAUUUGGAAAAAGUUGGGGAAUGCAUGAAGUCGUUUUUUUGUUAUUUAUUUAAGUGAAUGUUGUUUUUCUAUAUAAAAGAAAUUAAUAUCAUCUCUGGUCUCAUUCUAUGAAUUCUUAUUGUAUAUUAUUAUUUAAAUAAAAGAUUUUCUCUUUUUUUUAGAGAGAAAUGAAAUUCUUUAACCCUUUUUAUUUGUUUUGGUGAAUAACCUUGUCUAUUUAUUAAACUCUAGCUCUAGAAAUGACUCUUCAACGUAUAAGUGUAGACACCAUUCUUAAUUUCUUAUCUUUUAGGAUUACAAUGGAGUUUUCAUACCUUUUAGGAUUUCAUUUUUCUUUAGUGCAUAGUUCUUAUCAUUGAUUUUAACCUCAAAGUUCUUUAGUAUAGAGUUUUUAUCAUUGAUUUUAAUAUGUACUUAUUAGUUAUAAAGUCUACUAGUUAUAUUAAUAUAAUAAAAUUAUUAUUUUGGUUCCAAGUUUCAACUUCAACUCACAAGCUCAACCACACCUUCAAGUUAUCAACCACUAUAUUAGAAGUAGGGAUGCUAAAAAAAACUAGUUUUAAAAAAAUACAUAUAACCAUAACUAAUUUUAUAUAACUAGUUAUAUAAUUGGUUUUACACAUAACUUGUUAUAUAAUUGGUUAUAUAACUAGUUUAUUUAUAACUAGUUAUAUACUCAUAACUCAUAUUUUAAAAACAAUAGCUAGUUAUAUCAAAUUAUAUUCAUAUUUUAAAAACUAGUUAUAGUUAUAAUACCUAUUUAUAAUCUAGUUAUUUAUUAGGUAUGGUUAUAGUUAUUUAAUACCAAAUUAUGAACACCCCUAUCUAGAAGCUCACUCCAAAAAUUGUCCUAAUUAUGAGAGGAUGUAUUACUGACCUUGCGAAUGGCUGUCCACAUAUUAGGUGUUCAGACCUCUAUAAAUGUUAUGAUAUCAUUGAUGCUGAAUGGCUUGUUCAUCUUCUCUCAAGACAUUGAAAUUGGUAGAUUGCUACAAAAAUUGGGGAUGGAACCACGUUAUCCUUAACCAAAUCUUAGGGUGGAUUGACAUGCAAUUGGGAGCUUCAUAAGGAGACACCAAUGUGCUCCUAUAAAUUUUCUUAACUGAAAAGACAUGCCUGAAGACUAUAUUACUGACAUGGUUGAAUUGAUUCAGGUCUAAUAUAAUACUUUAUAAGUGUUGUUUCAUUUUAUUUCUUGUAAAAUUUUGUUUUGUAAUGUCUAACAAAAUGGUCUUUUUCUGUUUGCUAAUGAUACUCAUAAUAGGGUAAGUUUCGAUUUGUUCUUGAAUUAACUAAACAAACAAAGGAAAUUUGAUUGAUGACAUGAGUUGAAAUGGAGACAAUUUAAAUAUGAAUUGAACAAAACUAAGGAGGAAAUGGUUGCUCACAUCCCAGAUCCAAUGAUUGAUCCUUUUCAAUAUCGUGAUUUAGUACAUUAUUGGUGUUCUGAGAAAUGAUAGGUAUAUAUGUACAUUGUCACUAACCUUUGGCUAACAUAACAAUUAUAUAUUAUAUGUUUAUUUUUAUUAUUGACUUUUUAUAUUUGUUGGUUAUAGAAAAUAAGCAACAUUAACAAAAGAAAUCGCUCAAAAUAUGAGGACUUGCAUUGCAUGGAAACCAAAAAUCUUCCAAGAUGGAUUCAUGAGAUGGUUUGCUUUUUUUAUAAUUUUUUAAUAUUUAAUUGCUUAGUAUAAAUAGGAUGAUUGAUUUUUUUUUAACUAAUGUUAAACAACAAAGGCUAAAGGAGUGCAACCUUCUUGGGCAGAAAUUUAUAUUGACACUCGAACUCAAAAAGAUGGAAGCAUUAUUAUUGAAAAGCCUGUUAUUGUAAUUGUAAGAAUUUAUUUUUAUUUCAAUACGUUCUCUUUGUUUUAUCUUUUCCUUUGGUCAAUUUUCUAAUAGAUGGUUAUGGUAUGAAGGGGAUUAACUAAUGAGGAGACGAGUUUUGUUUGGUGGCAUUGAAGUAUUGAGAAUAUAUAUUGAUGCAUGGUAAUAAUUUAUAAAGCGUAUUUAUGUAGGAUGAACUAAAAAAGAAAAUGGUUGAAGCAAGGAGUUCACAAAAUUUAUAAAGCAACCAAGAUUCUUCUGAUUGUACAAAUGAUAUAUAUUCAAAAGUCAAAGGACCUAAAAAAAGAGGAUGUGUGUGUUGUCUUGAUAAGCUUUUACAUCAAGCAAGUUUAUCUUAAACUCUUAUGCAGACAAUAGAAUUCAAAAUUUGGAGAAUUUGCUUGGAAAUCUUGUUGUCCUUAAAGUGUGAUUUGCAAAAGAUCUACAAAUUAAUCAAGUCUUAGAAGCUAUAGAUCAAGUGGUACAUACAAAUGGUUCUACUAGUAAAAAUCAUCAAACUACAAGCAAUCCUUACUAGAGGUGAGUUGAAAUUUAAUAAUUAAUAUUUUGAUAAUACCAUUCCAGUUAGCAUAUGAUAUAGCUUGUAGUGUAUCCACACUAUCUGUGUAUAUGGUAAGUUGUAGCUCCCCUUUACUUGGUUGUCUUCUCUUUUCCUUUAAGUCAUGUAUGUACCUAGACUUGUUGACUAAGGAAUAAAGUUUGAAAUUUUAUUGUUUUGAGAAUUGACUCAAACUAAUCAAGCUUUAUUAUGAUUUUUUCUGUUCUAAUAUGAUUUUUAAGCUUCAGGUUAGUCCAAGUUAAUUGAUUCACAUAUUUAUGCAAUUGCAGUUGAGAAGCUAUCACAUCUAUUUGCAUAAAAUAUUCAUUUGUAUAUGUUAAUAUGUAUUUCUUUAUGUCAUUGUAAUCACUAGCAACAAUGAAGAUAACCAAGUAAUGGUUUUGAGGUAAAGACAUUUUCUUCUUGCAUAUAUGCUUGAUCAUUUUAAAAAUUUGUUGCUUACUUAGUUCAUGAAUGUGUAGAUCGGUGAUUACAUGGAUGUGGCUAUUCUAUUGGUUAUCCUGAAUGUUGGAUAUCAUCUCGGCUUUGCUAAGGUGUUUUGGGACAUAAAUACUCUUUUUUGUUUUUGUGAUUGUGUUAUUUUAUUGAUGUGGUUAUUUUGUUGGUUAUUGUGGAUGUUAGAUAUCAUCUUGGCUUUGUUCCAAUGUUUUAAAACUACUAGAAUCUUUUUUUUAAAAAGUAAGACUACUUUAUUGCAUAGAUUAGUUCCUUGAACUUGUAAAAAGCUUAGACAAUCAAUUUAGAUACAAUUGAUAUUUAUUUUA